This 483-nucleotide ribosomal RNA is filed under the name uncultured bacterium. RNAcentral describes it as "partial 16S ribosomal RNA". It matches the Rfam family "Bacterial small subunit ribosomal RNA", at positions 28 to 523 of the family's 1533-position model. The record is from RNAcentral.
GAUGAACGCUGGCGGCGUGCCUAAUACAUGCAAGUCGAGCGAACCACUUCGGUGGUGAGCGGCGAACGGGUGAGUAACACGUAGGUGAUCUGCCCAUCAGACGGGGACAACGAUUGGAAACGAUCGCUAAUACCGGAUAGGACGAAAGUUUAAAGGUGCUUCUGGCACCGCUGAUGGAUGAGCCUGCGGCGCAUUAGCUAGUUGGUAGGGUAAAGGCCUACCAAGGCGACGAUGCGUAGCCGACCUGAGAGGGUGAACGGCCACACUGGGACGGAGACACGGCCCAGACGCAGACGGGAGGCAGCAGUAGGGAAUCUUCGACAAUGGGCGAAAGCCUGACCGAGCAACGCCGCGUGAAUGAUGAAGGCCUUUGGGUUGUAAAAUUCUGUUAUAAGGGAAUAACGACUUUAGUAGGAAAUGGCUAGAGUGUGACGGUACCUUAUGAGAAAGCCACGGCUAACUACGUGCCAGCCGCCGCAGUAA